GGGUAGGCGCCGGCAGAACGGGUACCAUUGAUGUUGGUAAGCAUGGGACAAAGGUCUCUCUACCUU
RNAcentral lists this transfer RNA (66 nucleotides) under Chromodoris quadricolor. RNAcentral's name for it is "tRNA-Ile". RNAcentral also lists the same sequence under 3 other names. The record is from RNAcentral. Lineage: Eukaryota; Metazoa; Mollusca; Gastropoda; Nudibranchia; Chromodorididae.